Molecule: unclassified non-coding RNA, 981 nt
Filed under: Drosophila yakuba
Lineage: Eukaryota; Metazoa; Arthropoda; Insecta; Diptera; Drosophilidae
Description: GE16700
Source: RNAcentral
AAAAAUAGAGAACUAAACAAUGAAUAACGCUGCAACCACAAAUAGUUCCUUAGAAAUCAGUCUCUUCAAAUAUUUAACUUUUUGUUUUGGUAAGUUUAUGACGUCGGAGGCCACGAAAAAAUAUACACACAUAUGUAAAUCGAAUCAAGAUUCGCCACGCUACUUUCACGCUUAAUGCAUCGAAUCGAUUUGGGGCCCCAACUACUUACUGCAAUCAUAGUUUUAUCAUCAUUUACUUACCGCUUUCGUUUCGUUAGAUUUCCCUAAUUAACUCGCGAAAGAAACCCAAAAACUAAACCAAUCUAACCAACCGAAAUGCAAAUUAAAAUCACCAGAAUUGAAUCAAAACGAAGGGCGAAUGCUCGCAAGACACAUCUGAAAUCCAUAUUCGAAAUGUGAAUAGCUUCUAAUUUAGACUAAUAUUUAUUGCUUUACUUUUGAUUCUUUGCUCUCGCUAAUCUCUCUGCAUGCUACUCGCUUUGCCUCACAGCUACUCGCUUCUCGCUGAUUGCUCGCUUAAGUGUCCUCAAUCCUUGGCGACGACUUCAUCUGCUUGCUACCCCCUACAUCACCAUCACAAACAUACCCCCACACACGCUCACAAAUACACCCAUAGACACUCAUUCACACGUACGAGUUUUGAUUGCAUGUGCACAAUGUUUGGUUUGUAGUGUAACUCGUUCGUACCUCGUAUGUAUAUAUGUACAAAAUCGGUUGUUAUAUAGACUAAUUUCCCUAUUUACGCCUACGAAGUAGUAACCAGAGUAUAGUGUACAGAUCAGUUUAAAAUACUCAAAAUGGCGCGUUAUUAGACCGUCGUCGAGUUUAGUUGGUUACUGGCUCAAGCAUGCAUACGCCGCCACCAGAAACUCGACCUAAGCUCGGUCCUAAAAAGGACCGCACAGCAUCACCCGCUCCGCAGCUACCUCGCCCACCAGUUCUACCUCAUCGCCGCCCUCGCCGCCCACAGCCCUGAUCUCG